This 1336-nucleotide long non-coding RNA is filed under the name Homo sapiens (human). RNAcentral describes it as "HSALNT0080551". Lineage: Eukaryota; Metazoa; Chordata; Mammalia; Primates; Hominidae. The record is from RNAcentral.
CUUGUUUAUUGGGCAACACUAAGCAAAGUUAAUGAUUAUUCCAGUCUUUAACUAGGACGUGAGAAGCUCUCUCCCCAUCUUCACCCAUUUCUGUGAAGCUUUCAGGGACUAUGGGCCUCGCACUGAUAGCACCUCCCCAGGCUGGGCUGGCCCAGACAGUCGAAGAGUAGGACCAGCCACUUCUCAGCCCAGCUGACAUUUGGCAGCUUUGUGAUUUUGGAUAAGACAUCUUCUCUUGGGAGGUCAGACAAGAUCAACUCUUCCAGCUAUGACAUUGCGUGAGGCAAUGAAGAGGGGAAAGUCCAUGAAUGGAAGGUGGAACUUGAUUGGAUCUGUUUUGUGGGUUCAGGAGAGGUCCUAUCACAACUCACUGGAGAAAGAAGACUUUGCUCUGCCACCCAGAAUGGAGUGUGCAGUGGCACAAUCAUGGCUCACUGCAGCCUGAAACUCUUGGGCUCAAGCGAUCCUCCCGCCUCAGCCUCCCAAGUGGCUGAGACUACAGGAACACACCACCACACCUGGCUAAAUUUUUUAAUUUUUCUAGAGACAAGGUCUCACUAUAUUGCCCAGGCUGAUCUUGAACUCCUGGCCUCAAGCAAUUCUCCUUCCUCAGCCUCCUAAAGUGUUGGGAUUACAAGUGUGAACCGCUGUACCUGGCAAAAAUGCUAUUUUAAUUGAGAUUAUAUGACAGUUGUAGAUUAUUUUGAUAAAGAACUGAUUACAUUACAAAAUCAAUUCUUCCUAUAUAAGAACGGGAUAUAGCAUUCCAUUUAUUUCGUUAUUUCAUUCCUUUCUCUUCUUUAGUAUACAUUAAAACCUGCAUAUUAGUUGUUAGUAUUCCUUGGUGUUUUAUCUCAUUACUAUAUAUUGCAUCAUAUGUGUGUAUGGAUAAAUGUGUGUAUGUAUACACAGUCACACAUGCACCUAUACCUUAAAAUAUAAUGUUAAAGUAGAACCAUUCUCUUCACUUCUCACAAAAGUUUUUUUUUUCCAUUGGGACUAGACAUUGAAUUUUGUCUGAAGACUCACUAACAAUAUAUGGAGCUGACCAUAUGGCUUUUUUCUUUUGAGUUUCUUUUGAAGAAUUAAAUACUAGAAGUUUGGAUGUUAAGCCAACUUUUAUGACUUGGCUAAAACCCAAUUGUCCAAAGUGUAUUAUUCUUUUAAUACAUUGUUGGCUUUUAUUUAUUACUAUUUUUUUCAAAUUUUAUUUUACUAUUCAAAACACCAAUGUGCACUCGUCUGUCUUCAUUCAAUUUUAUAUUACUGAAUAAUGACAUAAUGAUAAAAGGAUAAUAUAAUGAUAUAAUGAUGUUAUUCUGUCUUUGUAAAUUCC